UGAGUCAAGGUACGAUAAGGUCCUUCGGGGUAGUUUACACGUUAUUUGCCUGGCAUAGGGCGAAGGGGUGAUUGGUUUUGAAGAUGCCGCCAAAAAAGGGAGGCGGAAACAAGAAGGGCAAAGGCCCGGCAAAAAAGCGGGUAGUUCCCCAGGUGUCACCACCACAAUCAUCUUCCGAUGAGGAGUCCUGGGUAUUGCUAAAAGAAUUGCAGGCUAAAGUGGCAGGCCUUGAUGCAAAAAGGGCAGAAAGGCUCACUCCUAGGGGCAGCGAGACUACUCCACGACGCUCAGCUAGAGACACUAAAGGACGGCGUAGGGCAGACAUUAGAGCCAUCACAUUGGAGCUAACAAAGCGUUUUGAUGCCCUUGAGUCUGAGCAGGGUCGGGAGAUUGAAGGACCGAUGGCAGAUGACGAUUUAACUGCAGCUGCGGUGGGGACUGAUGGGCGGAAGCGCAGGAAGACAAUGACAACAGAUGGGCAGGAGCCAGGAGAAGGAACGUCAGUCAGCCACGAUUCCUAUGAUGAGCCCUCCACAAGUGGUUCAGGGGCUGCUGAAGCUUCUGGAGCAGCAAGGGUUAUUUCAGGUGGGUAUGAGGUAUCGCACAACACAGUUGGUGAAUCACCACAGUGGCCCUGGGUGGGAGGCCCACAUCCAGUGGGGGCGACACCAAUUAAGUAUGCACCAUCUGAUAGGACAUGGUCAGGGGGUUUUUGGCCCCCUGUGGGGCCGCAAUGGUUCGGAUGGGGCAUGCCAGGUUCAGCUCCCUUGCAGUCAUUUACAGUGGUGGAAGGUAAGAUUGCAACACCACAACAACAUCCGUCAGUGCCCAAUACAGGUUAUAACAUGGUCCCGAUUGCAGCUAUUCCGUACACGGAUUACAGUACGCCACUGGGAGACCAUUUGACGCCAGCAGUUAAGGAAAAAAUUUGGAGAGGAAAUUACAUUGACUUUUAUGAAUUGCUUAACCGGGAAUUUGAAGUAAAAGAGAUUGAUAAGGACGAUGAGAAACUAAAGGAAAAGCAUAGGCGUAAACGACAGGAUAGGAAUUGGAACAAUUGGGUCACGGGCUUUACCAUAUAUGCAGGUGUUUUAGUGAAAAUGCAACCUUGGAAGGCAUCUGCAUUGUUCCAAUACUUUGACAUUAUGCGUAGAGCGAAGGCUGAGUUUGAGGGACAGGCUUGGUUGAGGUACGAUGAGGCUUUCAGGAUGAGGAGUGCAAUCAGGCCGGAGCUGCGCUGGGAUGAAACACAUCCAGGGCUCUGGCUACAUCAUAUGUCACCAGCAAAGACGAGUUUAGGUGACAGAUUUGAUUGCGGGCACUUGAACAUAAAGUACUCAGGUAACACAGGUACCCGCCAGGGGGCGGGGCAGGCGGUUCAACCCCGGCUGCCUUGCUAUGAAUUUAAUAACAGAGGGUCGUGUGCCAAGGUACCAUGUAGGUUUCGGCAUGAAUGCCUCACAUGUGGUGGAAGACAUGCGAAAAUCAACUGUUUUAAAGCGGCAGCGCUGCGACAGAAUAAAUCAGGUGGCACAAACAAAAAACCAGAUGGAGGGGGUGGGGCUCCUGGAAAGGGGGCCCACCCCAAUUAAACUUGACAUAUUACAAAGGGGUCUGGCAAGGUACCCCAAAAGGGAAGACGCAGAAUAUUUGUACUUAGGUU
This is a long non-coding RNA of Pogona vitticeps (central bearded dragon), 1663 nucleotides long. The record is from Ensembl. Lineage: Eukaryota; Metazoa; Chordata; Lepidosauria; Squamata; Agamidae.